RNAcentral lists this ribosomal RNA (483 nucleotides) under uncultured bacterium. Its description in RNAcentral is "partial 16S ribosomal RNA". It matches the Rfam family "Bacterial small subunit ribosomal RNA", at positions 30 to 507 of the family's 1533-position model. The record is from RNAcentral.
AUUGAACGCUGGCGGCAGGCUUAACACAUGCAAGUCGAGCGGAUGAAGGGCGCUUGCUUCUGGAUUCAGCGGCGGACGGGUGAGUAAUGCCUAGGAAUCUGCUUGGUUGUGGGGGAUAACGUCCGGAAACGGGCGCUAAUAACGCAUACGUCCUGAGGGUGAAAGUGGGGGAUCUUCGGACCGCACGCUAUCAUAUGAGCCUAGGUGGGGUUAGCUAGUUGGUGGGGUAAGGGCCUACCGAGGCGACGAUCCGUAACUGGGCUGAGUGGAGGAUCAGUCACACAGGGGUUGAGAGACGGUCAGACUCCUACGGGAGGCAGCAGUGGGGAAUAUUGGACAAUGGGCGGAAGCAUGAUCCAGCCAUGCCGCGUGUGUGAAGAAGGUCUUCGGAUUGUAAAGCACUUUAAGUUGGGGGGAAGGGCAGUAAGUUAAUACCUUGCUGUGUUGACGUUACCAACAGAAGAAGCACCGGCUAACUACGUG